UGAGUAACGCGUGAGAAUCUACCUUCUAGAUGGGGACAACCGUUGGAAACGACGGCUAAUCCCCAAUAAGCCGAGAGGUGAAACGGGUAUCCGCUAGAAGAGGAGCUCGCGUCCGAUUAGUUAGUUGGUGGGGUAAGAGCCUACCAAGGCAGCGAUCGGUAGCUGGUCUGAGAGGAUGAGCAGCCACACUGGGACUGAGACACGGCCCAGACUCCUACGGGAGGCAGCAGUGGGGAAUUUUCCGCAAUGGGCGAAAGCCUGACGGAGCAACGCCGCGUGUGGGAAGAAGGCUCUUGGGCUGUCAACCACUUUUCUCAGGGAAGAAGUCCUGACGGUACCAGAGGAAUCAGCCUCGGCUAACUCCGUGCCAGCAGCCGCGGUAAUACGGAGGAGGCAAGCGUUAUCCGGAAUUAUUGGGCGUAAAGCGUCCGCAGGGGGCGCAUCAAGUCUGCUGUUAAAGGUCGGAGCUAAACUCCGGUAGAGCAGUGGAAACUGGUGCGCUAGAGGGCGACAGGGGUAGAGGGAAUUCCCAGUGUAGCGGUGAAAUGCGUAGAGAUUGGGAAGAACACCGGUGGCGAAAGCGCUCUACUGGGUCGCACCUGACUCUCAGGGACGAAAGCUAAGGUAGCGAAAGGGAUUAGAUACCCCUGUAGUCUUAGCCGUAAACGAUGGAUACUAGGCGUGGUUUGUAUCGACCCAAGCCGUGCCGAAGCUAACGCGUUAAGUAUCCCGCCUGGGGAGUACGCACGCAAGUGUGAAACUCAAAGGAAUUGACGGGGGCCCGCACAAGCGGUGGAGGAUGUGGUUUAAUUCGAUGCAACGCGAAGAACCUUACCAGGGCUUGACAUCCCGCGAAUCUCUCGGAAAGGAGAGAGUGCCUACGGGAACGCGGAGACAGGUGGUGCAUGGCUGUCGUCAGCUCGUGUCGUGAGAUGUUGGGUUAA
RNAcentral lists this ribosomal RNA (944 nucleotides) under uncultured organism. RNAcentral describes it as "bacterial SSU rRNA". It matches the Rfam family "Bacterial small subunit ribosomal RNA", at positions 107 to 1083 of the family's 1533-position model. The record is from RNAcentral.